This 1842-nucleotide long non-coding RNA is filed under the name Malus domestica (apple). Its description in RNAcentral is "long non-coding RNA (MDOM_LNC003959)". Lineage: Eukaryota; Viridiplantae; Streptophyta; Magnoliopsida; Rosales; Rosaceae. The record is from RNAcentral.
CUCUGACUUACACAGCCUCACCCCUCUCACAUCCCCAUUUCUCCAUUUCGCACAUUUGAGAUCCGACCCUCACCAUGGCCUCAGUUUCUGCGACUGUGACGGCCCUCAUCAUCCCUCCUUCGCGACAACUCACGACUAUUCGUCCUCCGUCCUCUCUCCUUGGUAUUUUCUCUAUCUUAUCUCAUAUAACUUGAAAUGUGGGUCGUCUUGUUAUUAAUGUGGGUUUCUAAAUUUGAUAUCUUUAAUCUUGUUUCUGGGUUUUGAUUUGAGCUUAUGACAGUUUUCGAUUUCUGGGCUUUUUUGUUUUUGUGAAUUUCUGUGGGUUUUGGCAAUUCCCGAGUUCCGAGUUCUCGUAUUGGAUGGAUGUUUACAUUCUUAUUCAUGUUCAUGUUUACAACCUUCUAUUUCUUUUUCUUAGUCUACAUUUUCUCAGCAACCAAACAUAUCCUAACCAACUCUGAAGGUGCAUUUUGUUCUUGUGAAUCGAUUGCGUUCGGUUCUGUCUUUACACAAUGUGGAAUAGAAAAAGGAUUUGGAGUUUUAAACAUUUACAGAACCCCAUUAUUACAUUAGGAUUAGUUGUACUGAAAUUAAGUGUUUAACUGUGCUGAAAUUAAAGUGGUUUAACUUUAAUUGACAACAUUAUUGCCCAGGGAAAAAUAAAGUGUUUAAUUGUGCUCUACAGUGGCACGAUUUGAAGGUUAAUUAACAAUUUGUUUUUUUGGUUGCUCUGCAGUGGCACAACUGACGACCAAAAUCAAGAAUCUAUUUUCAUUGUGAGGAGAAAAGAAGAUCUCAUUAGUGUAAAAGCAUUGGAAGACUGUCUUCAUCGGAUUCCUCCUAAUAGUUUCUCUAAGGUAUAAAAUGGUUUAAUUGUAGAUCUUCUGGAGUUUCAUUUUAGAUAUAUUUGUUACAAAUGUUCAUUUAUAUUAUUUUUCACUACAAAUAUUGCUCCAUGUUUUCUGCUACUAUCAUCAAUAACCACGAGAAAGUAGAAUGUAGCUUGUCCUUUAGGUCGUACAACAUUUGGCUUGACUGCCUUUAAGUGAUUGAGAUCCAUGUUAAUUCAAGUCUUUCAUGCUUCUGUUUGGUUGGAAUUUUAACCUGUGUUGAAUUUGGGGCAUCCAACUCGUAGCUUUGGAGAACAGGUUUAGCAUUGGAGCUCAUUGUUCAGCUGGGCUUUCUCCUUAAUCUUUCACUUUUACAUGAUAUGAUUAUACAUAAAGAGUGGGUAUAUUUGUCAGCAAAUUCUGUUUAAUUGUUGUGUAAUUAAAUUUAAACCUACAGUUUGAUUCUUCAAACUUUUAAAACUGGGGAAGCCCAUGUUUCCUCUAUGAAAUAAGUUGUUUGAUUCUGCUUACUCUCUGAAAUAAGUUGUUUGAUUUGAUUAUAUGUUGUUUGAUUGUGUACAGGAGCUGCUGCAGUGCUGCUUGCUCUCUGAGAUUUGUGGCUGACCUUCUUGCUUGCUGGAAUGGCAAUUUUGGAGGUCAUCUAGUCUCACAGAGGAUUUGUUUGAAGAGCACUUUGUGCAUUAUACGGUGCAUUUUGUGGGAAUUGAAGGACAUACCUCUUGUGUAUACUUAUCAUGCACUUGGAAAUGAACAAUAAUCUAUAUGAGGAGAUAAACCUACAGUUUGCUUCUUUAUUUUUUUGUUUGUUGACUGACUGAUCAAUGCAUGUCUUGUAGUUCCCUUUUUGUUGACUUGGUGCCACUACCAAAGACAUUGCAUUAAAAAAGAUGUGUUGUAUGCAACUUUAUAAAAUCAGUUUUAGAAGAUGUAUUUGAAUGUAUGAUGAUUUGGUGUUCAAAUAAUUUAGCAUUCGGAACCGUAAAUCGGCAAG